Triticum aestivum (bread wheat) is the source of this 124-nucleotide non-coding RNA. Lineage: Eukaryota; Viridiplantae; Streptophyta; Magnoliopsida; Poales; Poaceae. The record is from Rfam.
UUACUACUCCCUCCGUCCGAAAAUACUUGUCCUAGAAAUGGAUAAAAUAGGUGUAUCUAUAACUAAAAUAAGUCUAGAUACAACCAUUUCUAAGACAAGUAUUUUCGGAUGGAGGGAGUACAUC